ACAGCCUAUAGACGAGUAGUGGAGGGGUGUGUUAGAGUUCAGUUCUUCUCUGCAGGCCUGGGAGUGAGGUCUGAUCAGCAACUACUGUAAGGAAAGGGAGGACUAUCAGCCUUGGGCUGGGAAUCAACUGGAAUUUCCUUACCUGUGAUGUGCGGAGAUCGCCAUCUGGUGUGCAACAUGGAAAGUUCACCUUGAUGCACAAUGCAGCAAGAGCAGCAGAUCCAAAACGAAUGAAAGUAGAUGUGCCUUCAAGGACCAUGAUGUUUUUUUAAACACCGUGUUUAAAUUUUUUUAAAAAAUUGAAUGAUUACACAUAAAAGGGCAAACAAUUACUUUACCUAUAUCAUAUUGCAACUAAUAAAAGUUUAUAAUGUCAAAGAGCA
Hemicordylus capensis (graceful crag lizard) is the source of this 383-nucleotide long non-coding RNA. RefSeq lists it as uncharacterized. The record is from RefSeq and is a predicted model, not a curated record. The transcript has 3 exons. NCBI's taxonomy places the organism in Eukaryota, Metazoa, Chordata, Lepidosauria, Squamata, Cordylidae.